AUAUUUCUGGUAAUUUCUGACAAGACCCGACUGGCAACACUGCAAAUAAUCACUAGUGGUCAUACGCCAACGUCACUCGCCCGAAGCCAUAAAAAAGAAAACAAAAACUUCCGGUUCCGGAAGAAAAAACAGCCAAGUGUUUUGCACUUUUGCAGCAUACUCUCUAUUUCUCUAAUCUGUGUUUUGCAGUGCACAAAAUCAGUGGUAGAACGUAGAACCUACAAGUUUUUUUGUUUUGCACGGUGUUUUAUUUAAUAAACGCUUCUGUUGUGCGAAUUGGACGCGUGACGUGCUGAAGAUUAAAGACUUUGCAUAAUGGAAUCAAAAAAAUUUUUUUUGGUUACAUUUUUAGAUGAAGAUGAUGCUCCUGGCAUAGUUUCAUCAAAGUGGUUAAGAUACCAACACUUGUUAUUACCCUAAUGUAUGCACUGAAGAAAUCAAAAACAAACUUGAAGAAGAUGCCUGCACCUGAAGCAACAUGGUCACAAUAUCAAAUAAAAAUACUUAAAAGUUAUGAAACUUAUGGCGAAGCACGAUUACAUUUAAAAAAAGCGGAAGAAACCUGAAAUUUGGACUCAGACGAAGCAGAAAAUGAUGUUACAAAUGAAGUGACAGUGGACAUAAUGUCUGCUGUAAAUUACCCAGUCACCUCCGGUUCUAAAGAGGCCAAGCAAACACAACUCAAAGCUGUUAACUGCCAAUCAGAGUGCAUUACAAACAAGCAAUAUGCUAUACAGCAGAGUCAUAUGAUUCAGAUUGUGUCAGACCUAGCUAACCAAAUGGCUGAAAUCAAUAGAAAAUUGGAUUUACCGUUAGCUAGGUCCGAAGAAACAUUUUCACCAACAGAUGACAAUGCAGGUCUUUCAGAACUUUUGGCAAGUCUACCAGUAAAGAUAUUGCAAGUUUUAAUAAUUUCGAUGACCAGUUAAAAAUAAACAAGAAUACAGGCAAUAAUGUCAUUUUUGUCUGGUAUUGGCGGCAGAAAUGUAAGAAGCCUUACGACUAAUAUGUUGAGACGAAUAAUUCUAGAUGAUGUAGCCGAGUUGUAUUCGUUAACUGGGAAACAGAUGAAAAAUUCGAAUAAAAAGUCAUUUAUGAGUACAGAAACCUAUAAAUUAAUCUUUCAAAUAUGUAGAAAAAUCAACGAAGAUGUAACUGAAGACAGUCUAAAAGAAAUUAUAAGUGAUUGGCUAAAUCAAGCUAAAGUUAGCUUUCAAGAAGAGCAGAAACACAAAAUAAAGAAAAAAACCAAUAGCGGCGACCAUGAAACCGAUUUUUUCUCAUUUAAAGUAAGAUAAGAUAAAAGUAUAAAUAAUAAAAAAAUAUAUGUUA
Molecule: RNA transcript, 1332 nt
Organism: Ostrinia nubilalis (European corn borer)
Lineage: Eukaryota; Metazoa; Arthropoda; Insecta; Lepidoptera; Crambidae
Exons: 7
Source: RefSeq, a predicted model, not a curated record